GUGGGAUUCAAUGUGUUGAGCAUUUUGGGGGGGUUGGAGGAUUCUGUGUUGAGAAGUUUGGUCGCAGUUGCAAAUGAGAACUUGUUCUCAACUAGCCUACCUGGUUAAAUAAAGUCUUCACAGCUGCAAUUGUCUUCCCCUGCAUCUGCUACACUGGCCACGACAGGUGAUACAGAUCUGCCACCCCCAGCAGUUCAGCUGCAGUCACAGCAGUCAUCUGCUGUGGUGUUUAAUUUAUCCUACUACACUGGCCGUGGAUGGAGAAACUUUUGAGGAUUCCCAGAUGGAUACAGAUCUGCCAUGCACUCCACCAUUGCCCGACAGCCUCACACAGAAGUGCAUACACUGGGCCUGGCAAGACUGACAAAGCAGAGAUGGGUGGCUGACAAGGAAAAAUAAAACAUGCACUCAUACACAUUAUCCACAAUGUAAAUAAGUUGUAAUUGCUUGUUUAUUUCAUGUUUUCUCCAUUUUAUUUUAGGAUUGGAGAUAUCUACUCCUUCAUAGCCAUUCUCAAUAUCUACAUAAGUACUCUAAAUAUCUAUCAAAUCAAAAUGUGAUUGAUAAUAUUGUAAAAGACUAUGGCUUAAAAUGGUUACAGUUUGAGGAAAUUCUUUGUGCUUUUUCUGAAUUGAAAAACAUGUCUCACUCUCACACACAAGACCCAAAAAAUAAAUAAAUAUCUGAA
Long non-coding RNA from Oncorhynchus gorbuscha (pink salmon), 688 nucleotides. RefSeq lists it as uncharacterized. The transcript has 5 exons. NCBI's taxonomy places the organism in Eukaryota, Metazoa, Chordata, Actinopteri, Salmoniformes, Salmonidae. The record is from RefSeq and is a predicted model, not a curated record.